AGAAUAUGCCAGUAUAUAUAUAUUUAUUGUGCAUUCAGGCUAUCCUGAUGGAAAAAUGCAUGUAUAUUCUUUCUGGAGUCAUACCAGCUCAAAGGGUUUGCUGCUCCCUGAUCUAUCUACUUCCUCACAUCAGUAUUCUCUGCAGAAGGGAGAGGAGCCAGGAGCUGAACAUGAUGACACAGUCAGGAUCUCAUCCCACAGACUGCAAGCAAGAGUAGAAACUUUAAUUUUGCUGGGGAAUGCUUUUAAGGAAGUGUUGCUUACCCUACAUUCUUCUGCUGUGAUAGUUAUCUGA
RNAcentral lists this long non-coding RNA (295 nucleotides) under Coturnix japonica (Japanese quail). RNAcentral describes it as "lncRNA (ENSCJPG00005016405.1)". The record is from RNAcentral. Lineage: Eukaryota; Metazoa; Chordata; Aves; Galliformes; Phasianidae.